Long non-coding RNA from Pseudopipra pipra, 1132 nucleotides. RefSeq lists it as uncharacterized. The transcript is spliced from 2 exons. The record is from RefSeq and is a predicted model, not a curated record. Lineage: Eukaryota; Metazoa; Chordata; Aves; Passeriformes; Pipridae.
CAGGGGGAUGCACAGUACUAUGUGGAGUAUGGGAGUGGCCCAGUUGAUCGUGGGUGAUGAUCAAGCAUGUCUAGUACCACUGGUGAGAAAUGCCUAAUUUAAUGCUUAAUGGGGAAAAUGUUCCUUCAAGGCAUCACCCACUCGAGACCACAUUCUGGGAUUUGGAGAAGUGUGGGUGCUGCAGGGUACUAACUCCACAGCUCCGAGUGCACUGGGCCCCUCCUGGAACAUAAUGUGGGGCUGCCAGUGGGCACCUUCCCUUUGGCACAGCCCUGCUGGAGCUCUGAGAAACUGGGUGGAUUGUGGCAUGUGAGAGAGUAAAGCUUGGGAGUAAACCUGCAGCAGUAAAAGGGCUAGCAGCUGAAGUAAAGUUUCUAGGAAUCCUCUGGCAAGCACCCUGCCAGGCCUUCCCCAGGCUGCAGAUGGACAGCAUCUGGUGUGGAGAAGUGUGCAGCCCCCUAUCUGAUGUGUAUGCAGAACUGUUGUGUGGAGCCUCACAGUGUUGCUCUUGAUCUCUGCUUGCUGUGUAUCAGUGAUCAUGAAGUGCUGGACAUCUCUGCCCUCCAGCAGCACCAAAGCUCCUCUUCAUCUCCUACAUCACAUAUUUGGACUGUUUGGUGAAAUUUGCACCACUGUGUCUUAGGGGACAUGGGACUAGGGGUGGAACCUGAUGGCAGGACCUCUCUGAUGGUCCUAGCUCCAAGGUGACUGUUAUCUUACAUUUGUUUUCACAAUCAGUAUUUGUUUUAUUACUCUUGUAUUGUUAAUUUUAGUAAUUGUUUUUUGUAAAGUAAUGUUUCUAAUAGCCAAAAAUAUUUACUGGUAUAAUCUGCAACUUAUUGUAUCUGUUAGAAAGGUCAACUGUGUGUGGAUCAAGGGGUGGAAGUUAGUUAUCCUGGCCGGAAGAUCAUUGUACAUCGAGGAGUUAGUGAUCCACAAAACAGCUGACCUGGGAUGGGCUAAGCCUGUGCUGUGCUGUACAGUGCUGCACAUACAGCCUGUGUGCCUUACUGGAGACUCAUCCAGUGCUGCACAGCUCAGGGCUCCCAGCAUCUGGAGGGAUGUAAAAUUGCCUACACUAUCCUCUUUUUUAUUACAGUGUUAGCUACAAUAAAUGUCAUUUGAAGCGAUA